UCAAUUUAGAUGCUUAAUUAAAUAAAUAGUUUAUUAUGUUUUUGAUCUCAGUAAUAUGGAUAAGUAUACCUUAGAUCCAAACAAUGCAAUGAAAAAAUAGAUGUUUAAGUUAGACGUCAUUUUCGUUUUCAAGUAAUAACGAACAAGCAACACAUACCCGAAGCUAUUUAUAGAUAUGAUUGAGAAAUUUUCUAUCAAAAAUAUAAAUAUACACCCCAAACACUUCAUCCCUCUCCAUUUCUUGUGACUAACCCUUUCAUUGAGUUCUUUUUCUCAUUUCAUUUCAAUCAGAACUUCAAAUCAAAUUCUCUAAAUAGAGGACGAGAUGGUAGAAGCAAAGGGUAAAGGUUAAGAGGAGUCCAUCGUCAAAUCCAAACCGAGGAAGAAUCUUUCAUAUUCACAAGAAUUAUGAGUUUCUUUUUCUAUUAAAAUCAAUCUUUGAAUGUUGCAUGAGAAUUAUUGGGGAUGAAUUCAACUUAUUCUUUUGUGAAAAUUUUAUUUUGGGUGCUUUGACAAAAUGGGUAUUUUGAAAAUGAGAAUGAAUGAAGUGCGAGGUUUUGCUUGUUAUAAGUUGGGCACUACUUGGAUGUUCAAGUGCUAAAAUGUGAAAAUAGUGGGUAAGUCCUUGAAUUUGCAGAAGUUUGCUAAGCGAAUAUAAUUUCGCUAACCGAAUUCAGCUCUAUACCAACAUGUUUGUUUCAGACUUAAUUUGUAAGAUUUUGGAAAAAUUUGUCCCUGUAUAGGAUUCGAUGAACAAAUGUCAAAUUCUGUAAGCGAAUUUGAUAGAUUCUGAAAAUGUUCCUUGUAGUUUUUAUGUAUGUUUAGUUUAUAGUAUUCUUUAAUAUUGAUUCAAAUUGUAUUGUUAAUCUCCUAUUGAUUAAUAAACUUGGUGUUGUGAUAUGUAUUGAUUUAAUUGAAAAUGAUACUAUAUUUUUUAUGUUAAAAUUUCAUUUUUCAAUUAUUUGUUUUAAAUUAAAUGAUUGAAUGUAAU
This 991-nucleotide long non-coding RNA is filed under the name Cicer arietinum (chickpea). RNAcentral's name for it is "long non-coding RNA (CARI_LNC002043)". The record is from RNAcentral. Lineage: Eukaryota; Viridiplantae; Streptophyta; Magnoliopsida; Fabales; Fabaceae.